This 5926-nucleotide long non-coding RNA is filed under the name Setaria viridis. RNAcentral describes it as "long non-coding RNA (SVIR_LNC008031)". The record is from RNAcentral. Lineage: Eukaryota; Viridiplantae; Streptophyta; Magnoliopsida; Poales; Poaceae.
AGCAAUUAACGGUCUAACUGGCCCAGCCUCACAGGCCCGCGUCGCCCCGGUCCAGCGUUCCCCGGUUCCCCCCCACCUCCACCCGCCGGCGACGGCGCCCGCCGCGACCCGACGGUGCCCAGACGACUCCCCUCCGCCGCCGCCUAGGGAGGGGCUGCGACCAGCCGCGAACAGGUCUCGUCGUCGUACCCGCAUCGGUACGCCCUCUGUCCACUUUCACCGCCGCCCUCGGAGGUCAGGUCAAUCCCACUCUCGCCGUGCCGCUAGGUUCUCCGUGCCUUCAAAUCUCGAUCUAUUGUUUUUCUUGCCCCUAUGUUACAAUUAGCGGUGAAACGCAGCGAUUGUUUGGACCAAUCGAAUCGUGGAACAAAAUCUGACUAGUCAACCACUGAACCGAAUGCUCUUGCUCGCUGUAAGCCGUGUGUUGCAAUCGUACUGGCAUUUUCAACUGUCUUUUUUUCUUGUUCCCGUGAAAUGAAACAUUAUAAUGGUACCAUACAAAAAUUUUGAAGAAACCAUUAUUUUUCUCAACAUGAAUUUUUUUGAGUAAUUUUCUUAACGAUAACAUGUUUUACUAUACGGAUCCUGCCUUUUGACAAGGCUUUGGGUCGUUCAUUGCAGAAUUGGACUACCACUUGUGUGCCUUUAUUGAAUGGAAACUUCUAUUAGUGUAACUUGUAAGGUGUUACAUACUUCUGGCACCAUACUUAAUUUGGUAGGUAUAAGAAACACGCGAUGUAAUCACCAUGAGACCUUGCUGCAAACAUGCUUUUAAUAUCCAGUUCGUAUGUUUGGGUGUGUUAGGGGACCUUCCUGCUACUGUUAUUAAGAUUGUUUGUUAUUAUAGUGAAAAAGGGUAUAUUGUGCGCGGAGAAAAUUUUGAUGUAAUCAAGGCUUGAGAAUGAAAUGUGGUUGAAUGGAGCUGCUCCACAAUGUUGUUUUCAUUUCUUCAAUGUAAAACUAGUAUGGUCUCAAACUCUCAAUAUUAAUCUCUGGAAGAAGCAAUGGGAAGAAUGUGCUACAGUGCUAGAAUCAUCAUUUGAGAUGAGCCAUGGGAUUGUCCUAGUGACUAGCAUCCUUAUACUACUUGAGACUUGCACAACCAUGUAUAACUGGUACUGAAAAGGUUUUGGUCAUGUUGUAAGAUCAAUUUUCCAUUGAACCUUGGCUUCUUAAACUGCCAAGUUAACUUCUUAUAGACUGAAUUCGUGAAAAAAAGAAACCUCCUAUAGACUUAGGACACUAGUGCUCAAACUUCUAAACUCUAAGCUUGCAAGAAUGGGUCUUUUGUUUUUACUGUCAUUCGAUUCCUAAGAUUUUCUUUCUUACUGGGUGAAAUAUUCAACCGUACCAUGUUUAUUUCAGUGAAAAGAUCAUGUGCAGAACAGAUAUUGAGAAAGAAACAUAGAACUUGUUCUAAUUUAUGCUUAAACUAUGUUGGUGUUUUGUUUCCCAUGUCGAUUUCGAGGCUGAAAUAUACACUUCAGCUCAAAAUUUCAUUGUACUUCAGUGUUAUAUGCAUGGCUGGUUCGGAUCAGAUGAUUGACGAUAAGACCCUUACCCUCAUCUUACUGUUGUUUAGGCUCUGCCGUAGCCAUGGUGAAGUUCUGAGGCCAAGUGAUAACAGCUGCAAUAGGCUUCACUGCUUCAAGUAGACUCUUCUAAAAAUUAUGGAUAGAAUCACAUAGUAGUAACCAAACUAACCAAUAGAUGAGAUACCACAUACAACUAUUUUUAUCCUAGGAAAACAAUUUAUUUUAGGAAACUGAUAUUCUUGCUGGAGAGAUGAAGCCUUCAUAACAUCUGUGGCCCAUUGCUAGAGACGGUAUUAGCGGCCAUAACUUCCACAAUAUAGCUUUUGCUUCAGUAGGUAACCAUAUCUAAUUUCCAACACCAUUAUGUUGGUUCAUACAUAUAAUAAUCUUAAAAUAUGCUGGAGUAACACUAUGGAAGUGAACUGACAAAUGAAGAAGGAUCAGGAGGAGUGGGGACUGUGGGGACUGCAGCUGCUUCGUCAAGCAUUUGUGUCACUUUGAGCAUUGUAGGUCUCAUUGUUGGGUCCUCCUGGAGGCACCACAAUGCCACUGCCACAAACCUUUCCACCUUCAUCAAAUUGAGAAUUGCUUCAUCAUCACCCUCCACCAGAAAAUCAACCCUGCCGCACCUAUAACAGUCAUUUGCCCAGUCAGUCAGUAUUUUUUGAUCUUCUUCAGCCUCCAACUCAACAUUCCGCCGGCAACAGAUGAGCUCCAACAGGAUGACCCCAAAACUGUAAACAUCCACCUUGGCAGUGAUGCCAAUGCUCUUGAACCACUCAGGGGCUACGUAUCCUCGGGUGCCCCGGAUACCUGUAUUUGUUUGUGUCUGGUUUGUUCGGAGAAGUUUGGCUAAGCCAAAGUCUGAGAUCUUUGCUGUGAAGUUGCCAUCGAGAAGGAUGUUCUGGGGCUUUAUGUCACAAUGGAUAAUCUGUGUGCUGCAUUCCUCAUGUAAGUAUAGCAGCCCCCUUGCCACUCCAAGAGCAAGCUGAGCUCGAAGGUUCCACUCAAGCCUGACAUCACCAAAUAGGAAUUGAUUGAGUGAUCCAUUGGUCAUGAAUUCAUACACCAAUAGUCUUUCUUUUCCUUCAUUGCAGAAUCCUAGCAACCUAACCAAGUUCUUGUGGUGCGUCCGUCCAAUUGUCUGGACUUCAACGGUGAACUCUUUCUCUGUUUCAUGCUCAAGCUUGUCAAUUUUCUUAACCGCAAUGUAAGUGCCGAGAUCAUCUUGUAACUGGCCCUUGUACACAAUACCAGAGGCACCAGUGCCGAGUACCUCCUGGAAUCCGCUGGUUGCCUUCUCAAGCUCAGCAUAAGCGAAGGCUUUCAAGGGCAAUCCUAUAUUGUUUGAUGACUGCAGAGAUGGGAUUUCCUUUACGGUGAUAGUACAAUAAGUACCAAAAAGUAUAACAGAGGUCAGCAGAAUGUUAACUAGGACAGAGCUUCCCAAAAACAACGAACUUCCAAGGAUCCAGUUCUUCUUGUCUUCCUUCCAUUUGUUGGAACCAACAAGCUCAGCUUGUGUACUGUUGUUCUUCCGUACCUUGACGAAAAGUGUCCUCUCCACAUUAUCUCCCAUCUUGCCAUUUGACAAAGGCAUCUUCUUCUUCCAACAUGUAUUAUCUUGGUCAUGGAAGACAGCAACGGCACAGAAACAAUCUGUCAGACAGAGUUGCUGGCACUGAUCCUUAGUUAUGGGGCUGUACUCCUCAUAGUCAGCUAGAGGCCAAUCCACACUGUUCAUCGGUAUCAACUUAAACUGCAUACUGGCAGCUGCUUCAUCCAAGUCACAACUUUGUGGCUGGAAGUCAGGUUUGCAGCCUUUAUACUUCCUCUCCUCAUCAAUAAACGAAUACUGCUCUGGGCACAGGCAAAUACUCUGGUUGUUUCUGCCAUUGAAUGUGCAGUAACUGUUAAACCCACAAAUGCCGCUUCCAUCAUUUGUCAGUUGUGCGUCACAGAUAUUUGGGGGCUUGAAGUCCACUACUGACCAUGCUUGACUACUCAGGUUGCUGACCUUCUUCGGGCACCGAUAUUGCCUGAACACACCAUCUGGGUCAAGUGUAGCACGAUGAUAGUAGUCUAACAUGGAACCGGUGACCCCAGAUGUCACACUGAUCUGUGUUCCGUUAUCCAAGGUGAUGUAUACCAUGCCAGUCGCAUUGAACACCAGCUUUGUGGUGUUCCCAGCCAUGGACCAGUAGUAGUCAUACAUCUUACCGGAGGGUACAGCAACGGUAUAAAGAAAAACACCAAUACUUUGCAGGUCAAGGAGGAACCGGCCAUUGGAGUAGUCUGUGGGGAUGAUUCGGCUGCGGAGCUUCAUUCCUGGAGUGAGCACCUGAGUAGGCAGGAUGGUAUCUGCUGGGUUAUUGAAGGUCCCCCACUUGGUAGAGCCAUCUGCAGCAGCCAGUACGAAGUUUCCGGUAUUGAGCAUGGCAGCGUAUACUGCACCCACAACUCUCGGAUUCCAUACCUCUGUUCCAGUGGGAUCCUGGAGCGAGAGCGCCCCAUUUGAGUUGAGCAGGAGCUGGGAACCGGAUGAAACAUGUACCAGCACUGGAUCUGGAUCAUUGGUCUUGGCAUACCAAACCACCGUCUUAUCACUGGUCUUGUCGAACCAGACAGCAAGCAGAUAGGAGGAGGUGUUACCCUCGAUGGGCCGGAAGCCGAACGCGAAGUCGCCAGACGGCGAGAGCCAAAAGCUGCUAGGCCCUUCAGGUGUCAAGGAGGAGCCUAAGGUUAUGUUCUGUUGAGCUUGAAGGGAAGUAGAGGACAGCAGCAGGAGCAAGGACAAGAGGAGGAGAGGUGCCAUGGUUCGUUUGAUUUGGCUCUCAGUUCUUACAUCUGACGGCAAACUUAUGCAUCUCUUGGUUUUCGGAGUCUUCGUUGACUUGGCUUGACAAUCGAUGGGUCAUCGGAACCAUCAUGUGGUGUAACAGUAGGCAGCUUUGAACUGGUCAAUCAUGGCAGUUGGCUGCUCCACGAGCAUGGGUCCUUGUCUGUGUGACUACUCUUUGCUAGACUUAUAGUGACUACAUUAUUGAAGUUUGAAAGUGUUCCAACGUGUUGGAAGUGUUCCAAGGUGCUCCUCUUCUGAGCCAAACUUUUCACAUGCCUGCAAGUUCUACAGAAGAGAAGACAUAUAUUUCGUAGGGUUGUACUGACGGUUGCGUGAAGGCAGGUCCCAAGUUCUUCUCUCGCCUAGAUACUUCCAGUUAUUCGUAAGUUUUUCAGAAGUAUAGUCAUGGUCACUACUUACUACCAGUCAAGCCAGCUGAAUUUAGUACGAGAUUAUACAUGUGGGAUCAUGCUACGUGCCUUAUUUCACUUAGACUGGUGAUCAGAUUGGAACAAGGAGGUUGAAAUUAUUCAAGAGGAAUGUUUGGUUACUUUUGGCCAGUUUCCUGGAUAUUUUUAUUAUGUGUUUCAUUGCGACAAAAGUUUAUUGGACGUUUCCGUGAAUUAGCUGUUUUGUGAAUUUUCUGUAGAACAUAAUAAGACAUUUAUUGAAGACUGAUAGUUUUCAUUGUUGUUUAUGAGCAGGAAUAAAUGGAGUCCACAAUUACUUGUCAGACAUUGACUGGGACGUUCAUUUUUCAUGGUUCUUGUGAUCUAGCUGGCCGGCCGGCCCGGCAGGAUUAACGCGCUGGCAGCUGAAAGGAACUUGUACCAGCACCCCGCGUUGCCUAGUCAACACGUUGUACCAUCAGAAGAGUGGUUUUCAGUGGUUCUGCUUCUGCCAACAGCGGCUGAAUGAAGCCUAUCCUAAUCUUAGGCUAUGGAGUCUGUUUAGCUCAGUUGUGGAUAUUGGUGUAUGUUAAAGCUACCUGAAUUUUAGUCGUCUUCGAUGCAAAUUUGGGUACACGUUUUUACCAAAAUGUAGCUACAGAUAUAGUAUGUGUUCGAUUUUUUUCAUUCUAGCUUUGGUUGGUUGUGGUUCCUCGUCAUCCUACAUUUGUUGCUCAUCUCUAUUUUUCGUCAAACCUCGGGUUGAUCGUAGUUCCUCUUCUAGGCGCUUCAUUUUUUUUUUUUUGGCUAACCAUGUGGUGAUGAUGACGUGGAUUCGCCUGGAGAAAUGUUUUAUCUUUUUUUGAAUGCUGAUGGUGGAUCCUCCGAGACUUCAAAUUGCACCUCAAUCUGAAAUGGAGAUUUCGACAGCCCCGAUUGCAUGUGACAUGUCUUCCACUAAAAAAGUGGACUUGCAUUUGGCCGAGUUUUUUCCACGUGGCUCGCUGGCAUGAAGGAACAAGUGAGCGGAAAGUACUAGAAGAAGGCAUUAUUUGAUUGUUCAUCUGGCUGCUGAAAAAAAAUUGAAGUGACACUGACAGGUGGGUCCCGUAGACACAUCCCCAGGGGGAAAAAGGGGAGAGAAAAUCCCACCGCAGGGC